This is a non-coding RNA of Nicotiana tabacum (common tobacco), 2710 nucleotides long. NCBI's taxonomy places the organism in Eukaryota, Viridiplantae, Streptophyta, Magnoliopsida, Solanales, Solanaceae. The record is from RefSeq and is a predicted model, not a curated record.
AGCUUUCAUCAUCAGUUGCUCAUUUUCCGCUGUUCAAUUGCUCACGACAUUGAUUUUCCCGUACGGUACUGACAAUCUAGUCUAACGUACAGCGAGAAUCUCAGUUGGAGCAUAGCAACCGCACACAUCGGUUGCUUAGCCUUACGACUUCACUAAGGCGCCGCGUAACACUGUGUAUGUGCUGCAUCCAAAUUCAAAGCCCAACUGAAAGUUGUACUCCAUGGAAAUGCAGAGGAAAAUCAUGGCGAGAGGAGACCGAGACCGACUCAGCGAUUUGCCCGACCCGAUUCUACUCGACAUUCUCUCUUUGUUACCGGAGGGAAAAGCAGUUGUGCGAACCAGCGUAUUAUCUCAGCGAUGGCGGUUUAUUUGGAAGUCUGUUACAGUAUCACUCGAUUUCGAGUUCCCCAGAUGUUCCAGCCGAAAGGAGACUCUUGACCGCAUGGCUUCGAUCAAUAGAGAGCUUCAUCAUUGGAGGUAUUGCGAGAAAAUCCGAAAAAUUAGGGUAUUUUUCUAUGUGUACUGUAAGCAUUAUGUAAAAGAUAUUGAUUUAUGGGUAGAAUUUGCAACUAAAAUUGCUAAUGUUGAAGAUUUUGCUCUUGAUAUUCUAGGUGUCACUGACAUAUAUGAGUUUCCUCAGUUUGCGUUUAAGAAUACGUCCUUUAAGAAUUUGGUUUUGAGCAUGCUCAAAGUGAACCCUUCUGGUAGUGUAAACUGGAGUAGUCUCAUUUCUCUUUCAAUUGGGGACCUCAAUUUGACGGAAGAUGUAAUGGAAAAGAUAUUAUCGGGUUGCCCUAACUUGGAGUGCUUGAAACUGGAUAGUGUUAAGGGCAUUCGUCGUUUGGAAAUCAGCUCUGUGAAGCUAAGAGAAUUGAUCAUAGAAGAUCAAUACUUUCACAAUCAUGACUUUUGUUUUGAAAUAUUAGGCCCCUAUAUUCAAAAUUUGCAAAUUUUGAGUUUCUACAGUACAAUAUGCUUGCAGCAGAGAAAUGUGGCUUCACUCCUCACUGCAUUCCUUGGUUUAGAGUUUGGUCAACGCAACUUGAAGAAGGAGUGUAGCUAUUUGAAGGAGCUUCUUCACAGUGUUGCCCAUGUCGAGAAUCUUGAAUUGAGUCCCUGGUGCAUCGAGGUUUAUUCAAACUCUUCAUUAUCCAAAAUCCAGAAACUUCUUUUUCGUUUAGGGACUUUUUAUUUGCUAUUGAAUCAUCAGUUUAGUAACAUUAACAGUGCUGCUAGUUAGGAUAAUCUGAUAACUAAUUUGGUAAUCAAAGAAUUACAUUCUCAUGGCCAAUCUAGUUGAUAAGUGGCAGGAGAUUGAAAAUGAACUGUGAGAAUAAAGAGCUUGCAAUGGAAAGAACAACAUGAAAAAUGUGGAUUGAUUUACAUUGAUCAUACUCUUUUUUUUAAUAUGAGUAAAAUGCGUUUAUUAAAAAUGAUACCAAGAUGGUACAAGUACAAGUAUAAGCUGCUACUAAGCUACUACAGCAUUCCAGUCAAAACAUAUUUCAUGUUUCCCCAUAUGUUUCAUCCUAUCUAGGGUAUUGCUACAGCACCAGUAAAAUAGAUUCUUGAUACAUUUGUUUUUGACUCUAGCAAUGUGUACCCUCUUUUCUUCAAAGCUUGCUUUGUGUCUCUCCAACCAGACAGUCCACAAUAUACAUAUAGGAAUAGUCUUCCAUAUUUGCUUUAGGUUUCUUUUCAUUUUCUGAGCUUUCCAAACUUCCAAACAAAUUGCUGAUCUUCUGUGGUAUGACAGAGAUACACCCAUGAUAGUAAAGAAAGAGUUCCCAGCAUUGUCUUGAGAAAUUACAAUGAAGGAAUAGAUGCUCAACAAUACUCUUUAAGUCAUGUGAAUGGGUUUUUCCAAGUGUUUAAAAGUCCAUCUUUGGAUUUCUAAACCACCUUGAACACUUUGCUGCGGCAAAACAGAAGUCAUAUAGUCCAAGCUGUUAUUACAAAUUAUUCAACAAUUUGCAUGUCAUUUGUUAAGUAUGUCACAUUUCCUUGUUUUGACGUGUUCUGGUUUAUCUAUUUGGUUUAUAAGUGCCUGUCCAUACUGGAGUUGGAGGGUUGGCAGCCUCCACUUUCAAGCCGGAAAUUCUUAAAGCUUAACACAGCCUUAGAACAGUUGGACUUACCUGGAUUUUGCAGCUUUUUGCAGAGUUCGUUGGAUCUUGAGACAUUGGUCAUUGACUGGUCUAAUUAUGGAUCAAGACACCAGUACGUGCUGCCAUGGUACAAGAAUAAGGAUGAACAUUGCAAGAGGUUUGAGAAAAUACAUAAUUUUAACUGCUCAUUGCUACAAAUGAAGACCAUCAAGUUCAUUAACAUGGUUGGACCAUUAAGUGAAAACAAGUUUGUACUGCCGUUGAUAAAGUAUUUGCUCGAGAAUGCAACAGUGCUAGAAAAGUUCAUCAUUGCUGUCGGAUGCAAAGGCUAUGUGUCUCAGGAUUGUGUUAAACUGGAACAGGAGCUCCUGAGCUUUCCAAGAUCCUCUCCUCACGCUUCAGUUGUCUUUUCUUAUGGCCCCUCUUUGUAUUGAUUACAUUUGUCAGUAUCCAAGGAGUUGUUAUAGUUCUUCAUGCGCAAGUAAAAGUGUGUUUAUUCUCUGAUCGUCAUGUAAGAAAGCUUGCUCUAAAUAUUUUGUUAUGAAUAUUCAUAUUGCUGAAUUGAUUGCUUUUAUACUAUGAAAAUUUAAGGUUGAAAAUCA